GAUGAACGCUGGCGGCGUGCCUAAUACAUGCAAGUCGAGCGAACGGACGAGAAGCUUGCUUCUCUGAUGUUAGCGGCGGACGGGUGAGUAACACGUGGAUAACCUACCUAUAAGACUGGGAUAACUUCGGGAAACCGGAGCUAAUACCGGAUAAUAUUUUGAACCGCAUGGUUCAAAAGUGAAAGACGGUCUUGCUGUCACUUAUAGAUGGAUCCGCGCUGCAUUAGCUAGUUGGUAAGGUAACGGCUUACCAAGGCAACGAUGCAUAGCCGACCUGAGAGGGUGAUCGGCCACACUGGAACUGAGACACGGUCCAGACUCCUACGGGAGGCAGCUGUAGGGAAUCUUCCGCGAUGGGCGAAAGCCUGACGGAGCAACGCCGCGUGAGUGAUGAAGGUCUUCGGAUCGUAAAACUCUGUUAUUAGGGAAGAACAUAUGUGUAAGUAACUGUGCACAUCUUGACGGUACCUAAUCAGAAAGCCACGGCUAACUACGUG
This 497-nucleotide ribosomal RNA is filed under the name uncultured bacterium. RNAcentral's name for it is "partial 16S ribosomal RNA". It matches the Rfam family "Bacterial small subunit ribosomal RNA", at positions 28 to 507 of the family's 1533-position model. The record is from RNAcentral.